Non-coding RNA from Lactuca sativa (garden lettuce), 2179 nucleotides. The record is from RefSeq and is a predicted model, not a curated record. NCBI's taxonomy places the organism in Eukaryota, Viridiplantae, Streptophyta, Magnoliopsida, Asterales, Asteraceae.
UUCGGAACUCUAAAGGUUUACAUUCAAAUUCUUGAAAGGGUUUUGGAACAUCUUGGAAGUUGACUUCACCAAGGCUGUAAAGCACUUCAAAUCUAUGACUCAAAUCUGAUAGGGGUGUAGCUCAUCAUUUAUAUUGCUUAUUCCAAAAAUCCAAGAUUGUUUGUCACUCUCGAAUUAUAGACCUAUAAGUCUAAUAUGGUGUUUCACAAGGUAACCUCCAAGAUCCUUGUUUUGCUGUAACGCCCGAUUUUCAAGUAUGAAAUAUUUCUUUCAAGUCUUUGGAUCUUACUAACCACAUCGUGACUGAUGGACUGCCACGACAUGACCUCAUUUAAAUGAAUGUGCAGAUUCUUUGAUCCCCACGGUGUGGUCGUGUAAUGGCCACAUCAUGGUGGCUAUUUUAUGACAAACCCUAAAUUUUCGGGUCUUAAGCCCUAUUUCAAGUAAGUGAUAGCUAGAGUUUUUUCCCUUCUUAGCCUCCAUCACACUCUAAACUCAAAAAUCUAAACCCUAGCUUCCUUUUCAUGAUUUGAGCUCACUUUGGUGCCUUUUGUGAUCUUUGAUAGAAGAAGAACGAGCUUAGGGGGUGUUUGGUAGGCAAGAAUAAAAGGAGGAAUGAAAUGGGAUAUUCAGGGGUAAUGAAAAAAACAUGUUUAGUACGUAUUUCAUGAUUUGAGCUCACUUUGGUGCCUUUUGUGAUCUUUGAUGGAAGAAGAACGAGCUUUAGGGGGUGUUUGGUAGGCAAGAAUAAAAGGAGGAAUGAAAUGGGAUAUUCAGGGGUAAUGAAAAAAACACGUUUAGUACGUAUAAGGAAAGGAAAGCCCUAUUCUUGAAGCAAUCCCAUUCCCCUAAAACACGGGAUUUUCAUUCCAUGGGGUAACCCCGUUUUUUUUCAUUCCAUUCCCUCCUUAUAAUUGUAUCUUCCGAAAUUGCCCCUCUAUCAGCCUCUCAAAUCGGAAGCGUAGGCACGAUAUCACUAAAAAUCAACAUUGCAUCUUCAACUGAUUGAGGAAAAGAUAUCGAUUUUGCAUUUGGAUAUCAUAAUCGCAACGUUUUCCCUCACAAACGUUGACUAAUUUCCAACGAAAUCAUUAUAAAAUUGUUUUCUAUGAAUCAUUACAUGAUCGACCACCAAAGCUUCAAGACAAUUUCAAGUAUAUUUCAUCACGGCUCCAAGAAUUUCGAGGUACUUCUGAUGAUCGCGGGAAGGAAAAGGCAUGAUCGUACACCACCUUAUGUUUCAUGAUUUGAUUCUGGGAUACUCUGACACUAAACUAUUUUGAAAACAAGUUUGUAAUAAUUAUUGGUUUUGAAAUGUUUUAAGAAGUUUAAAAUUUGGCAUGAUUUUUAUGGGCGUUACAUUAAGAAACCCGAGCCUAUACCAGAAACUUCAACCGAUGAAAGAUGGAAAUGGUUUAAGGGAUGUUUAGGAGCAAUAGAUGGGACACACAUAAGUGUACAUGUAGCAAAGGCAGACAAACCUAGAUACAGAAAUCGAAAAGGCAAAAUAACAACGAAUGUACUUGUUGCUUGUACUCCUGAUAUGCAAUUCAUUUAUGUAUUACCAGGAUGGGAAGGAUCUGUUGUGGAUGGUAGAAUACUACGUAAUGCAAUGCUUCGAGAAAAUGGGUUACAAGUUAGUAAAGGUAACUAUUAUCUUGUUGAUGUCGGGUACACGAAUGGAUAAGGAUUCCUCGCACCAUUCAGGGUCAAAGAUAUCAUCUCAAUACUUGUUGGAAUGGUCAUUGACCAAAAAAGGCUGAGGAAUAUUUUAACAUGAAGCACUCGGCGGCAAGGAACGUUAUAGAAUGUUGCUUUGGGGUAUUAAAAAAGCGAUGGGCUAUACUUAGAAGUCCAUCAUUCUAUCCCAUUCGGACACAAAAUAAAAUUAUCCUUGCGUGUUGCCUUCUACAUAACUUUAUACGAAAGGAAUUGCCAUAUGAUCCACUUGAUGAUGAUGAUAUUAUUGACACGAACAACGAUGAGGAUGAUGCAAACCUUGGAUCACAAGUCGAGCACAUAACAACAAUUGGAACAUCUAAUGAGUGGACAAUUUUUAGAGAAAACUUGGCUAACUCAAUGUUUAAUUCUUGGAGAUCUAGGCGUAACUGAUCUAUCAUUUUUGUAUUAACUAAAUUGUGAUACAUUUUUAUGAAAUUUUAGUAAUAUUAUGUUUUCA